This is a long non-coding RNA of Perognathus longimembris pacificus (Pacific pocket mouse), 101 nucleotides long. RefSeq lists it as uncharacterized. The record is from RefSeq and is a predicted model, not a curated record. Lineage: Eukaryota; Metazoa; Chordata; Mammalia; Rodentia; Heteromyidae. The transcript has 3 exons.
UAUCCUUGAGGGAAAGCCCCACAACUGACAAAAAUAAAUACAACAAAACACAACCAAUUAAAUGUGUUAUGUGAUAAAUCAUGCACAGUGGAGAAAUUAAA